RNAcentral lists this ribosomal RNA (140 nucleotides) under Clostridium perfringens. Its description in RNAcentral is "partial 23S ribosomal RNA". It matches the Rfam family "Bacterial large subunit ribosomal RNA", at positions 2786 to 2925 of the family's 2925-position model. The record is from RNAcentral. Lineage: Bacteria; Bacillati; Bacillota; Clostridia; Eubacteriales; Clostridiaceae.
CGUGAGGCCAACCUCAAGAUGAGAUUUCCCAUAGCAUAAGCUAGUAAGAUCCCUUGAAGAACACAAGGUUGAUAGGUCGGGGGUGUAAGCAUGGUAACAUGUUCAGCUGACCGAUACUAAUAGAUCGAGGGCUUGACCAA